RNAcentral lists this ribosomal RNA (541 nucleotides) under uncultured bacterium. Its description in RNAcentral is "partial 16S ribosomal RNA". It matches the Rfam family "Bacterial small subunit ribosomal RNA", at positions 355 to 888 of the family's 1533-position model. The record is from RNAcentral.
UGGGGAAUUUUGGACAAUGGGCGAAAGCCUGAUCCAGCAAUGCCGCGUGUGUGAAGAAGGCCUUCGGGUUGUAAAGCACUUUUGUCCGGAAAGAAAUCCUUGGCUCUAAUACAGUCGGGGGAUGACGGUACCGGAAGAAUAAGCACCGGCUAACUACGUGCCAGCAGCCGCGGUAAUACGUAGGGUGCAAGCGUUAAUCGGAAUUACUGGGCGUAAAGCGUGCGCAGGCGGUUUGCUAAGACCGAUGUGAAAUCCCCGGGCUCAACCUGGGAACUGCAUUGGUGACUGGCAGGCUAGAGUAUGGCAGAGGGGGGUAGAAUUCCACGUGUAGCAGUGAAAUGCGUAGAGAUGUGGAGGAAUACCGAUGGCGAAGGCAGCCCCCUAGGCCAAUACUGACGCUCAUGCACGAAAGCGUGGGGAGCAAACAGGAUUAGAUACCCUGGUAGUCCACACCCUAAAACGAUGUCAACUAGUUGUUGGGGAUUCAUUUCCUUAGUAACGUAGCUAACGCGUGAAGUUGACCGCCUGGGGAGUACGGUCG